UUGGUCCUAUGGUGGAAGCGCGCUUCUAGAGCGUAUGAUCUGCCAGCUCAAUUAAUGAGCUCAGAUCUAACGCUCCUAGUUUUUUUGAAUCUCCUAUUUUCUGAUUUAAUUUCUUUAAUUUCCAUUAUUUUCAAAAAUCAAUAUCUUCUUCAUUUUAAAUCCAAAAAAUAUGGGACCAAUUGCAUUCUUCUCCAAAUAAUCUCUAGUUUCUAAUUUUGAUUUUUAAUAUUACUUAUUUUAUCAUUUGAUGUUUUUU
RNAcentral lists this long non-coding RNA (256 nucleotides) under Lathyrus oleraceus (garden pea). RNAcentral's name for it is "Pisum sativum (pea) long non-coding RNA (PSAT_LNC009252)". Lineage: Eukaryota; Viridiplantae; Streptophyta; Magnoliopsida; Fabales; Fabaceae. The record is from RNAcentral.